AACACGUGCGAGUCGAGCGGGCGAGGUUGCUUCGGUAACUGAGCUAGCGGCGGACGGGUGAGUAAUGCUUAGGAAUCUGCCUAUUAGUGGGGGACAACAUUCCGAAAGGGAUGCUAAUACCGCAUACGUCCUACGGGAGAAAGCAGGGGCUCUUUAUGACCUUGCGCUAAUAGAUGAGCCUAAGUCGGAUUAGCUAGUUGGUGGGGUAAAGGCCUACCAAGGCGACGAUCUGUAGCGGGUCUGAGAGGAUGAUCCGCCACACUGGGACUGAGACACGGCCCAGACUCCUACGGGAGGCAGCAGUGGGGAAUAUUGGACAAUGGGGGGAACCCUGAUCCAGCCAUGCCGCGUGUGUGAAGAAGGCCUUUUGGUUGUAAAGCACUUUAAGUGGGGAGGAGGCUUACCUGGUUAAUACCUGGGAUAAGUGGACGUUACCCACAGAAUAAGCACCGGCUAACUCUGUGCCAGCAGCCGCGGUAAUACAGAGGGUGCGAGCGUUAAUCGGAUUUACUGGGCGUAAAGCGCGCGUAGGUGGUUAAUUAAGUCAAAUGUGAAAUCCCCGAGCUUAACUUGGGAAUUGCAUUCGAUACUGGUUAGCUAGAGUAUGGGAGAGGAUGGUAGAAUUCCAGGUGUAGCGGUGAAAUGCGUACAGAUCUGGAGGAAUACCGAUGGCGAAGCAGCCAUCUGGCUAAUACUGAC
RNAcentral lists this ribosomal RNA (699 nucleotides) under Acinetobacter sp. SO-A5-61. Its description in RNAcentral is "bacterial SSU rRNA". It matches the Rfam family "Bacterial small subunit ribosomal RNA", at positions 50 to 744 of the family's 1533-position model. The record is from RNAcentral. Lineage: Bacteria; Pseudomonadati; Pseudomonadota; Gammaproteobacteria; Moraxellales; Moraxellaceae.